RNAcentral lists this transfer RNA (73 nucleotides) under Ailuropoda melanoleuca (giant panda). It matches the Rfam family "tRNA". Rfam says of the family: Transfer RNA (tRNA) molecules are approximately 80 nucleotides in length. Their secondary structure includes four short double-helical elements and three loops (D, anti-codon, and T loops). Lineage: Eukaryota; Metazoa; Chordata; Mammalia; Carnivora; Ursidae. The record is from Rfam by way of RNAcentral.
GCCUGGCUGGCUCAGUUGGUAGAGCAUGUGACUCUUGAUCUCAGGGUUGUGAGUUCAGGCCCCAUGUUGGGCA